Molecule: unclassified non-coding RNA, 299 nt
Filed under: Hevea brasiliensis (rubber tree)
Lineage: Eukaryota; Viridiplantae; Streptophyta; Magnoliopsida; Malpighiales; Euphorbiaceae
Source: RNAcentral
GUAAUCAUAGAAGAUAGAAAAUAAUAUUGGGUUAUUUACAGUUUAAAAGAAUUACAAAGCUAAUAUAGGCUACAAAUUAAGAAGGAAAUUAAUAUGACAAGUUAUCAUUAUAAAGUAUGUCAAAAUUGCACUUUGUUAAUAUACUCCUAAAGAAGAGUUAUAGUACUAAUAUAGGAAAUAUUGGAUUAUUUAUAUUUUAAAUUAGUUAUAAAGCAAAUUUAGGCUACAAACUAAGGACAUUAAUUUGACAAGUUAUCACAUAAAGUAUGUCAAAACUACACCUUGUUAAUAUAUUCCUA